GAGGGUGAUAUGGAGGAUUGAGGAUCAACAGGGGUGAGGACGUCGGAAAGCGGGCAAGUUGUGAAACUACAUGUUUGGACCACUUUGAGUUGAGUGAUAAAGGCAAAAGGACAUAUGGCUACAAGUGGAGCUUAGGAAUUGGAUCGGUAGUGACUGACUCUGUGGAUGUGAGGAGAUUGAAGAUAUCCCCCCUCGACAGAUAAGUGCUUUCUGUAUAUAUUGAGGAGACGGUGUAGCUAUGCUGGGAAACUAAUAGUGCUGUGAAUGUGGCUCUACACAUGGUUGGUCCUCUUCACCUUGCUCGCUGACUCCCUCGACUGGUAAAUAAGUUAGCCCUGUGUGACGGCGGACUGGCAUCUCUUAUGCGAGCUGGUUAUUUCAUGACAUAAUAAGGUAGCUGUGUGACUCCCCACUGUGGAGUGUUGUCUUGUGCCCACAGAGCCUGGAGAGCUGUUGAUGUAUAAAGUUAAGCUGCCCCAUCACUGUUACGCUCUAACCGUCGGAGUCUGGAGAGCCGUUGUGUAACAAGCUAAACUGCUUCAUCGCUGUUUCACCCCAACCGCCUGAGCCUGGAGAGCCAUUGUUGUAUCCAGUUAUACUGCCCCAUUGCUGUUACGCUCCAACUGCCUGAGCGUAGAGAAGGACGUGCUGUAUCCAGGCCAGCCAUUUGUUGCUGUCUUAAUCCAGCAGAGACUGGUAGCCCUUCCUAACAGAACAAGUUACCUGUAGAUUGUUGACCGACAUCUGUGGAGACCAUUCGAUCUCCCUUUUAUACCACGCCGUCUGGCAAUUACUGCCCUGCAUCAGUGGAAUUCAAUAAAUGGUUCACUGCUUGAAGUCGACUUAUUUGUGCAGCCCCCCCUUCUGCAGACUUCAAAGCUCCAUCCUUUUAGACUUUUCUUGCAAAGAUAUUUAAUAAAGGAAACUUCAUUGUUUUAAACAAUCUCCUUCUUGCCCUGGUCUUUGUCGGGUAAGAUACGUGGUGCUCCCUUGGGGGGGGAAGAGAAGAGCCAGUGGCGGAAAGCGCCCCCUGCCUGUGACACUGCUGUUCCUGAACCCUGCAACUCCAAACCAUGAAGUGAGGCAGUAGUUCAAAAUGUUUUCAAUGGUUCCCCUAUAGAAGGUGGUAAGGAGAUGGUUGGGGAGACCUGCCUUUCUAAGUCACCCAGAAAUUUGAGAAGUGCACAUAUCCAAAC
Long non-coding RNA from Cyprinus carpio carpio, 1196 nucleotides. Lineage: Eukaryota; Metazoa; Chordata; Actinopteri; Cypriniformes; Cyprinidae. The record is from Ensembl.